ACUGAGCUGAAACACAGUUGGUUUGUGCACACUGGCUCAGUUCAGCAGGAACAGGA
Molecule: microRNA precursor, 56 nt
Organism: Macaca mulatta (Rhesus monkey)
Lineage: Eukaryota; Metazoa; Chordata; Mammalia; Primates; Cercopithecidae
Gene: MIR24-2
Product: microRNA 24-2
Source: Ensembl